RNAcentral lists this ribosomal RNA (1492 nucleotides) under Lacticaseibacillus paracasei. RNAcentral's name for it is "bacterial SSU rRNA". It matches the Rfam family "Bacterial small subunit ribosomal RNA". The record is from RNAcentral. Lineage: Bacteria; Bacillati; Bacillota; Bacilli; Lactobacillales; Lactobacillaceae.
GAUGAACGCUGGCGGCGUGCCUAAUACAUGCAAGUCGAACGAGUUCUCGUUGAUGAUCGGUGCUUGCACCGAGAUUCAACAUGGAACGAGUGGCGGACGGGUGAGUAACACGUGGGUAACCUGCCCUUAAGUGGGGGAUAACAUUUGGAAGCAGAUGCUAAUACCGCAUAGAUCCAAGAACCGCAUGGUUCUUGGCUGAAAGAUGGCGUAAGCUAUCGCUUUUGGAUGGACCCGCGGCGUAUUAGCUAGUUGGUGAGGUAAUGGCUCACCAAGGCGAUGAUACGUAGCCGAACUGAGAGGUUGAUCGGCCACAUUGGGACUGAGACACGGCCCAAACUCCUACGGGAGGCAGCAGUAGGGAAUCUUCCACAAUGGACGCAAGUCUGAUGGAGCAACGCCGCGUGAGUGAAGAAGGCUUUCGGGUCGUAAAACUCUGUUGUUGGAGAAGAAUGGUCGGCAGAGUAACUGUUGUCGGCGUGACGGUAUCCAACCAGAAAGCCACGGCUAACUACGUGCCAGCAGCCGCGGUAAUACGUAGGUGGCAAGCGUUAUCCGGAUUUAUUGGGCGUAAAGCGAGCGCAGGCGGUUUUUUAAGUCUGAUGUGAAAGCCCUCGGCUUAACCGAGGAAGCGCAUCGGAAACUGGGAAACUUGAGUGCAGAAGAGGACAGUGGAACUCCAUGUGUAGCGGUGAAAUGCGUAGAUAUAUGGAAGAACACCAGUGGCGAAGGCGGCUGUCUGGUCUGUAACUGACGCUGAGGCUCGAAAGCAUGGGUAGCGAACAGGAUUAGAUACCCUGGUAGUCCAUGCCGUAAACGAUGAAUGCUAGGUGUUGGAGGGUUUCCGCCCUUCAGUGCCGCAGCUAACGCAUUAAGCAUUCCGCCUGGGGAGUACGACCGCAAGGUUGAAACUCAAAGGAAUUGACGGGGGCCCGCACAAGCGGUGGAGCAUGUGGUUUAAUUCGAAGCAACGCGAAGAACCUUACCAGGUCUUGACAUCUUUUGAUCACCUGAGAGAUCAGGUUUCCCCUUCGGGGGCAAAAUGACAGGUGGUGCAUGGUUGUCGUCAGCUCGUGUCGUGAGAUGUUGGGUUAAGUCCCGCAACGAGCGCAACCCUUAUGACUAGUUGCCAGCAUUUAGUUGGGCACUCUAGUAAGACUGCCGGUGACAAACCGGAGGAAGGUGGGGAUGACGUCAAAUCAUCAUGCCCCUUAUGACCUGGGCUACACACGUGCUACAAUGGAUGGUACAACGAGUUGCGAGACCGCGAGGUCAAGCUAAUCUCUUAAAGCCAUUCUCAGUUCGGACUGUAGGCUGCAACUCGCCUACACGAAGUCGGAAUCGCUAGUAAUCGCGGAUCAGCACGCCGCGGUGAAUACGUUCCCGGGCCUUGUACACACCGCCCGUCACACCAUGAGAGUUUGUAACACCCGAAGCCGGUGGCGUAACCCUUUUAGGGAGCGAGCCGUCUAAGGUGGGACAAAUGAUUAGGGUG